GCGUGCAGCUGAGGUACUGCGGGCAUCACACGCCUUUAUUACAACAAGGAGGCUGCGGAGAGGCGCUUGGAAGUUCUUGGAACCAGGAAGGGCCCCUAAGUAGGAGGCUCUAGGUGGCUUGUUAUAACUAAAAGGAAGAAUCAGUCUGGGGCAAUUAGAAAGGUCCCCACGUGGUCGCACGAUGCAGAGCUCCAGAAGCACCCUCAGAAUACCUCCUGGGGGUUUCUCAGAAGAGGGAGAGGAUGGUUCACUCCUUCUGGCCAAACCGGACGUGGGCAUGAUACACCAAAGUGGUCACGCAUGUGCCUUACUGUGUAGACAUCAAAAGUUCGAUGGUGUAUGAACGAUGGAUUCUCCUGAGACAAGACAUUUCAGAAUUGUGGGGAUGACUUUGUGGGCUGGCACUUUUCAAGGCACAAAUUCACAUAAAUCACCUAGAUUGUAUUUUCACAACAGACACACAAACACAACCCAGCCCACGACUGGUUGCUAUGUGUGAUUUUUAAGCAAACUCUCGUUGACGAUAAUCUCUGGGGGCUGCCAAGCUGGUUUCCUUCCUGUUGGUAUAAAGUCCCCCAGUGACUCCUUAUCGGUCUUGACUUUCUUCCUAUUUACUAAUAACUUCUCAAUGCACAGCCUAGAGUGAAACAGAACUACAGUGAAUAUAUUUCAAAUAAUGGGAUUUUCGUGUAUAUGCUUCUGGGAUAAUGGCCCCAAAUAUGCCCCUGGGAACAAAUUAACUGCAAAGGUUUGCAUCUGUGAUUCGGAUUUCCUGCUGAACUUGCUUUGAAAGAGCAAAUACGUGUGGAAUGAAGCUGCUUUGUAGGUUUCCUCUUUAUACAAGACCUCCUUUCUGCUUAAUCACCUAGAUUGACUCCGUGAAAGCACAAAUGGAUGUAGUUCACUGAAGAGCAUUUCCGAAACAUGUGUCUUUCCUGUGAUGAUGUAUAAUUAAUCACCUCCAGGCAAGGCAAACAAGUCAAGGUGGCUUUUAAAGACUCUGUCAGUCUUUCUUCUUCUCUUCCUGUCUUGUCUUGUCAGAAGAAUCUGCAACUCUCCUCUGAUUUUCUCUGCUCCGAGCCUAAUGUGACCAUGUAAGUUCCAUCAGUGGCUCCUUUGAACCGCUCUUCACUCCUCUGGAUGCAGAGGCCAAGUCUACACAGCGGAUAACACAGACAAAUAAAUGCAAGGGUCUGAAUCAACACACACGGAAAUCUCUGCAGCUGCCAACCUGCUUCAGUUUCCUUUCUCCUUCCUCUUCCAGCUGGACCCAACCAGGGGCCCUUUACACAACAGUGCUUUCGUUCAUCCUGCCCCUCUCUGGUGAUGACAUCUCUGCAGGAAAAACUCCCCUCUCAGGCAUGUGUAUUGUGGCGAGGAUUCUCAGAGGGCACCUCAGGUUGAAGCCUUCUUUCUUACUGGGCCCAGAAAAGUUCUCUUCUCUGAUAAGACAACUCAGAGCAUCAGUGAGUAGACUGGGAAGGUGUAGAAGCAGAGAUGAAGGUGGUUUCAUCUAUGCUCACUCAUAAAUCACUGUGGCCUUGGCAUUCCCAAAGCAAGUGCGUUGUUACGUGUAGCUGCUACGCAAAAAGCUGUGGAAG
RNAcentral lists this long non-coding RNA (1601 nucleotides) under Equus caballus (horse). Its description in RNAcentral is "lncRNA (ENSECAG00000048935.1)". The record is from RNAcentral. Lineage: Eukaryota; Metazoa; Chordata; Mammalia; Perissodactyla; Equidae.